This 74-nucleotide transfer RNA is filed under the name candidate division Zixibacteria bacterium CG_4_9_14_3_um_filter_46_8. RNAcentral describes it as "tRNA-Arg". It matches the Rfam family "tRNA". From Rfam's summary of the family: Transfer RNA (tRNA) molecules are approximately 80 nucleotides in length. The record is from RNAcentral. Lineage: Bacteria; Pseudomonadati; Candidatus Zixiibacteriota.
GCCCCCGUAGCUCAGGUGGAUAGAGCAUCUGCCUUCUAAGCAGAUGGCCACAGGUUCGAGUCCUGUCGGGGGUA